AACGAACGCUGGCGGCAGGCUUAACACAUGCAAGUCGAACGCCCCGCAAGGGGAGUGGCAGACGGGUGAGUAACGCGUGGGAACAUACCCUUUUCUACGGAAUAGCUCUGGGAAACUGGAAUUAAUACCGUAUACGCCCUACGGGGGAAAGAUUUAUCGGGGAAGGAUUGGCCCGCGUUGGAUUAGCUCGUUGGUGGGGUAAAGGCCUACCAAGGCGACGAUCCAUAGCUGGUCUGAGAGGAUGAUCAGCCACAUUGGGACUGAGACACGGCCCAAACUCCUACGGGAGGCAGCAGUGGGGAAUAUUGGACAAUGGGCGCAAGCCUGAUCCAGCCAUGCCGCGUGAGUGAUGAAGGCCUUAGGGUUGUAAAGCUCUUUAAACGAUGAAGAUAAUGACGGUAGUCGGAGAAGAAGCCCCGGCUAACUUCGUG
This 431-nucleotide ribosomal RNA is filed under the name uncultured bacterium. RNAcentral describes it as "partial 16S ribosomal RNA". It matches the Rfam family "Bacterial small subunit ribosomal RNA", at positions 29 to 507 of the family's 1533-position model. The record is from RNAcentral.